This 460-nucleotide ribosomal RNA is filed under the name uncultured Methylomirabilota bacterium. Its description in RNAcentral is "bacterial SSU rRNA". It matches the Rfam family "Bacterial small subunit ribosomal RNA", at positions 977 to 1434 of the family's 1533-position model. The record is from RNAcentral. Lineage: Bacteria; Methylomirabilota (SeqCode).
GGGCUUGACAUCCCACGAACCUGCCCGAAAAGGUGGGGUGCCCGCAAGGGAGCGUGGAGACAGGUGGUGCAUGGCUGUCGUCAGCUCGUGUCGUGAGAUGUUGGGUUAAGUCCCGCAACGAGCGCAACCCUCACCCCUAGUUGCCACCGGGUUAAGCCGAGCACUCAAGGGGAACUGCCAGCGUCAAGCUGGAGGAAGGCGGGGAUGACGUCAAGUCAUCAUGCCCCUUACGCCCUGGGCUACACACGUGCUACAAUGGUCAGUACAAAGGGACGCGAGACUGCGAAGUGGAGCUAAUCCCAAAAAGCUGGUCUAAGUUCAGAUUGCAGUCUGCAACUCGACUGCAUGAAGGAGGAAUCGCUAGUAAUCGCGCAUCAGCCCGGCGCGGUGAAUACGUUCCCGGGCCUUGUACACACCGCCCGUCACACCACGAAAGCUGUCUGUACUCGAAGUCGCUGAG